CAGACUCUCAUAUGCAGUUUUCUGUAUAUGAGUUUUGGACGCUGCCGGUUACGGCUCGUCUUAAAUGUCUAAGUGGAAUGCGUAAUAAGUUUUCGCUCCCUCCACUCUAAUAAACUUUUAG
This 121-nucleotide unclassified non-coding RNA is filed under the name uncultured Basidiomycota. RNAcentral's name for it is "sequence contains ITS2". The record is from RNAcentral. Lineage: Eukaryota; Fungi; Basidiomycota. RNAcentral also lists the same sequence under 2 other names.